RNAcentral lists this ribosomal RNA (440 nucleotides) under uncultured bacterium. Its description in RNAcentral is "bacterial SSU rRNA". It matches the Rfam family "Bacterial small subunit ribosomal RNA", at positions 958 to 1398 of the family's 1533-position model. The record is from RNAcentral.
AACGCGAAGAACCUUACCUACCAUUGACAUCCCUGGAAUCCUGUAGAGAUAUGGGAGUGCCGAAAGGAACCAGGAGACAGGUGCUGCAUGGCUGUCGUCAGCUCGUGUUGUGAGAUGUUGGGUUAAGUCCCGUAACGAGCGCAACCCUUAUCCUUAGUUGCCAACAUGUAAUGGUGGGGACUCUAAGGAGACUGCUGGUGAAGAACCGGAGGAAGGCGGGGACGACGUCAAGUCAUCAUGGCCUUUAUGGGUAGGGCUACACACGUGCUACAAUGGGGCAUACAGAGGGCAGCGAAGCUGCGAAGCGAAGCCAAUCUCAGAAAGUGCCUCGUAGUCCAGAUUGAAGUCUGCAACUCGACUUCAUGAAGUCGGAAUCGCUAGUAAUCGCGAAUCAGAACGUCGCGGUGAAUACGUUCCCGGGCCUUGUACACACCGGAGUA